GGUAAACUAGUUAGGCCCUUUCCAAAACAAUGAAGGGAUGAUACAGGAGGGAUGGCAUUGGUUUUGUAACAGAAACCUUGUUGAAUUUGAGCUAAUUAAUGUACUUCCACAAUUCACAGACUUCGGCUGCAUCCGUAUUCUGUUAGGAGUUUCUUGAAGUGCCAGUGGGAAAAGUGAGUGUAUGAUCUUCGCGUAUGAACUAUAGCUGCAAGUUGAUCUUUUUGGACCACUUGAAAAUAUCAGAGUGAACCUGGUCUCCACCCAACUCCUCCCCAGUCGCUCCCGCUGCUACCCUUAAAAUGUCCUCUAUUAAUGCGAAGUUCCCCAGCAUAUCAACAUGAGCACCACUUUGGGUGCCUCGGCCCUCUAGAAGAUUAGCUGGAGGGGCAUGAUUAUAUUCCCUUAUGUAAGUACGAAUGCCUGAAGGAUUGAAUCUUGUUUUGCCUCGCCAUCCCUUUGCACACAUAAAACCAGCACUCAAAACAGGAACUGUCUCGUCUCCAUUAACGGAAAAAACUCCAUCUUUUAGACAAGAGUUCUCAAUUCCACCGGUUGCCGAGGUAUCUAUCUGAAAUGGAAUUGAGCA
Molecule: unclassified non-coding RNA, 586 nt
Filed under: Hevea brasiliensis (rubber tree)
Lineage: Eukaryota; Viridiplantae; Streptophyta; Magnoliopsida; Malpighiales; Euphorbiaceae
Source: RNAcentral